AUCGUCGCUACGGCGCACACUCACGGGAUGGGUGACGGCUGACGGCGAGGGAUUUGAGCCUCAGUAACAGCAUCCUCUAUAGGAUGGAAAACUGGAACAUCACAGGGUGUGGCCGAUUAUGGAUAAGUAGGCAUCAGCUCGAACAUGCU
Molecule: small RNA, 149 nt
Filed under: uncultured Prevotella sp.
Lineage: Bacteria; Pseudomonadati; Bacteroidota; Bacteroidia; Bacteroidales; Prevotellaceae
Description: RT-3 RNA
Rfam family: RT-3 RNA
Source: RNAcentral